GAAUAUUGCACAAUGGAGGGAACUCUGAUGCAGCAACGCCGCGUGAGUGAAGAAGNUUNNCGGAUNGNAAAACUCUGUCAUUGNNNNNGAAUAAAUGACGGUACCCAAUGAGGAAGCCCCGGCUAACUACGUGCCAGCAGCCGCGGUAAUACGUAGGGGGCGAGCGUUGUCCGGAAUUACUGGGCGUAAAGGGUACGUAGGCGGCUAUAUAAGUCAGGUGUGAAAUACCAGUGCUUAACACUGGAAUUGCAUUUGAAACUGUGUAGCUUGAGUGCAGGAGAGGAAAGUGGAAUUCCUAGUGUAGCGGUGAAAUGCGUAGAGAUUAGGAGGAACACCAGUGGCGAAGGCGACUUUCUGGACUGUAACUGACGCUGAGGUACGAAAGCGUGGGUAGCGAACA
Molecule: ribosomal RNA, 400 nt
Filed under: uncultured bacterium
Lineage: Bacteria
Description: partial 16S ribosomal RNA
Rfam family: Bacterial small subunit ribosomal RNA
Source: RNAcentral